RNAcentral lists this ribosomal RNA (498 nucleotides) under uncultured bacterium. Its description in RNAcentral is "bacterial SSU rRNA". It matches the Rfam family "Bacterial small subunit ribosomal RNA", at positions 15 to 507 of the family's 1533-position model. The record is from RNAcentral.
GAUCCUGGCUCAGAUUGAACGCUGGCGGCAGGCCUAACACAUGCAAGUCGAGCGGUAGAGAGAAGCUUGCUUCUCUUGAGAGCGGCGGACGGGUGAGUAAUGCCUAGGAAUCUGCCUAGUGGUGGGGGGAUAACGUUCGGAAACGGACGCUAAUACCGCAUACGUCCUACGGGAGAAAGCGGGGGAUCUUCGGACCUCGCGCCAUUAGAUGAGCCUAGGUCGGAUUAGCUAGUUGGUGAGGUAAUGGCUCACCAAGGCGACGAUCCGUAACUGGUCUGAGAGGAUGAUCAGUCACACUGGAACUGAGACACGGUCCAGACUCCUACGGGAGGCAGCAGUGGGGAAUAUUGGACAAUGGGCGAAAGCCUGAUCCAGCCAUGCCGCGUGUGUGAAGAAGGUCUUCGGAUUGUAAAGCACUUUAAGUUGGGAGGAAGGGCAGUAACCUAAUACGUUAUUGUUUUGACGUUACCGACAGAAUAAGCACCGGCUAACUUCGUG